RNAcentral lists this unclassified non-coding RNA (462 nucleotides) under Hevea brasiliensis (rubber tree). The record is from RNAcentral. Lineage: Eukaryota; Viridiplantae; Streptophyta; Magnoliopsida; Malpighiales; Euphorbiaceae.
AGAAAACUGAAAUAUUUGAAUAUAAAACUUUGUUUUCAGGUUUUUUUAGAAAAUUUGUCCAAAAAUUAUUGCAUACAGUUUUCCAUAAAUAAACAGACUCUUAAUGUGUCAUGUCAAUUUCAAAAUUAUAGAACAUAUUAUUGAGCUAAAUUAUGUAUUUGUCCAUAAAAUUAUGAAUGAUAAUAAAUAUUUUUAGGUGAUUUGAUUCGAUCUUAGGCAACAAAACAUUAAAAAAAUAAAAAAUAAAAUCCAACAAGUGGUAACACCCACUAAAGUCAUUUGGAGGCAUCAAACUCAUGAGGUAGUCUUGCUUAGGCAAUGAAAGUAUAAAGGCGCCGAUAGGUAUACAAAUUAAAGCUCCAAUUAGUUAGUGUGUUCCUUAAUUAAUUAUUAUUUUUGCUAAAACAGUAACUCGAUUAUGGCAAUUGAAAGCCACUGGUAUUGCACUAAAAAGUAAAAACA